Molecule: long non-coding RNA, 884 nt
Organism: Schistocerca gregaria
Lineage: Eukaryota; Metazoa; Arthropoda; Insecta; Orthoptera; Acrididae
Exons: 3
Source: RefSeq, a predicted model, not a curated record
AUAAUAUCUUUGGCAAAGCGAUCAAAUUUCAGAUGGUGGUUGUACCAUAAGGUGGUGCUAUUCUAUUGUGGGUGGGUGUUAAUAGUUUGUAUUGCUGUAUUAAGCCGUGACAUCCAUUUUAAAGUUUGGGAUUAAGACUUUUUUUUGGAAACAUACUAUUUGUGUGAUAUUCAACGAGAAGGAAUGGCAAUAUUUGGCAUAACUAAGCAGUAUGUCUGGGCUGGCGUACCACUGACGGGGUUUCUCAUUGGCUGGUACCUCGACCGGAAAGAGACAGAGAGGCUAACGAUGUUCAGAGAUAAAAGUGCUCUUUAUGGCCGAGAACUGAAACCUGGAGAAAAGCCAUCGUGGCCAUAAUUAGUAUGUACUGUGUAGUUGUUAGCAAAUAUAUACAGUGUAUUGAAUUGUUGUUUUUGUUGAAAUGAAGUGAAAUAAUUAUUGGUUGUCCUGCAGGGAGAGUGUAAGUUAAAACAUUUAAAGUCCUUCAUUUUUACUUCUUGGUUGAAAUUACGUAUUCUUUUAUUCUUGUAUAUGAAGUAACUUUUGUACAUAAACAACAAAAAUAACUUGCUUUUGCCUUGUAAUAAAGCUUCUUAUGAAAAACAAGUAACAUGUUUAUUCUUAAACCGAAUCAACAAUUUUAGUUUGUUGGAAAAAAAAAACAGAUUUUUCUAUGAUUAGAGUGGGUACUACUUUUAACUCACAUCCACAUUGGACAUGGCAUGCUGGUGAGGUGCAGUAUGUUCAUAGAUGUAAAACAUGGCUGCAGUGUGUGACUUGCAGGACAUACUGAAUGGAAUGAACCCUAACAGUACACAGGACGUAAGAUUCAUAGCAAACUAAAGUAAGUAAUAUGUAGCAGAAAUGAGAUAUUCCAAAUUAGG